AUCUCCUACUUCUGCCCCACGUUCGUAUUGUCUCCAUGGAAUAAUGGGUUCUGUUUAAGGAGAAGAUAAAGCUGGCAGAGAUGACUGUUCUUUAAACUGAUACAAUUAUAACGGUUUUUCUCUGUUGGGCUAUCGUGUAUAUUGUCUAUGAUUUGGAUUAGUUCACGUGUAAUCCAUAUUAAUAGGUGUAUGCAUACAUUU
This 201-nucleotide small nucleolar RNA is filed under the name Kazachstania africana CBS 2517. RNAcentral describes it as "Small nucleolar RNA snR43". It matches the Rfam family "Small nucleolar RNA snR43". Lineage: Eukaryota; Fungi; Ascomycota; Saccharomycetes; Saccharomycetales; Saccharomycetaceae. The record is from Rfam by way of RNAcentral.